This 1281-nucleotide ribosomal RNA is filed under the name Cladophialophora parmeliae. Its description in RNAcentral is "partial large subunit ribosomal RNA". It matches the Rfam family "Eukaryotic large subunit ribosomal RNA", at positions 51 to 1169 of the family's 3401-position model. The record is from RNAcentral. Lineage: Eukaryota; Fungi; Ascomycota; Eurotiomycetes; Chaetothyriales; Herpotrichiellaceae.
UCCAGGUAAGACAACAGGGAUUACCUCAGUAACGGCGAGUGAAGCGGUAAUAGCUCAAAUUUGAAAUCUGGCCUCUUGGGGUCCGAGUUGUAAUUUGUAGAGGAUGUUUUGGGUACCGCCCCGGUCUAAAUUUCUUGGAACAGAAUGUCAAAGAGGGUGAGGAGUCCCGUCUUGAACCGGCGGUAGGGCCUGUGUAAAACUCCGUCGACGAGUCGAGUUGUUUGGGAAUGCAGCUCAAAAUGGGUGGUAAAUUUCAUCUAAAGCUAAAUAUUGGCCCAGAGACCGAUAGCGCACAAGUAGAGUGAUCGAAAGAUGAAAAGCACUUUGAAAAGAGAGUUAAACAGUAUGUGAAAUUGUUGAAAGGGAAGCGCUUGCAACCAGACUUGAGCGCGGCGGUUCCCCCGGUCUUUUGGCCGGGCUACUCCGUCGUGUCCAGGCCAACAUCGGUUCUGAGGGUCGGUCAAAGGCCUUGGGAAUGUAUCUACCCACGGGUAGACUUAUAGACCAGGGUGUCAUGCGGCCUCUCGGGACCGAGGAACGCGCUUCGGCUCGGAUGUUGGCGUAAUGGUUGUCAGCGACCCGUCUUGAAACACGGACCAAGGAGUCUAACAUCUAUGCGAGUGUUUGGGUGUCAAACCCGGAACGCGGAAUGAAAGUGAACGGAGGUAGGAAGCUUCGGCUGCACUAUCGACCGAUCCUGAAGUUUACGGAUGGAUUUGAGUAAGAGCAUAGCUGUUGGGACCCGAAAGAUGGUGAACUAUGCCUGAAUAGGGUGAAGCCAGAGGAAACUCUGGUGGAGGCUCGCAGCGGUUCUGACGUGCAAAUCGAUCGUCAAAUUUGGGUAUAGGGGCGAAAGACUAAUCGAACCAUUAAGAAUUAGCCACUCGGUGGUUAAGUGUGGGCCCGAAAGGGUCCGCAAGUGCCAGGUUCUGGCGCGACACCGUCAAAUUGCAGGGACUCCCUAAAACUCCAGGGACCGCCGGCCGCCCGAAAGGGAGGUUUUUACGGCACCAGGUUAACGACCUCGGGUAUGGUGACACCACUGGAGAUGUAACAAUGGGUAAUCUGCAGCCAAGUCCUACGGCCCCCUCGCGGGGGCUACGGAUGCAGUUCACAGACUAGAUGGCGGUGGGCUCGGAGAGCUUAAGACAUAGUCGGCCCCCUGGGGAGACCCAGGCGCAUCGCUAAACUCGAGGUGAAGGAUCCCGCUCAUGGGCGGUCACCGCGAGCCCGAACGGUGCGGGCCUUUUUGUAGUAAAAAGGUCGGAUAAGCGACAUUGC